AUUUUUUUUGUUUUGUUUUGUUCUGCACUGCCUUUCACCAUCUGGAUUCUAAUGACAGUUAAGUAACAAAUAGCCAUAACAACUUUUGCUGCUGUGCCGUAAACAAUUCUCUUUGCAUUAAUUAACAAUUCAAGCAGAAUGAAAAGUUUCCAAAUCGUCAAUGUAUGAAAGGGUUCAAGUUUCGGAAUGUUGUUGCUUGCCGGCAAAAAGGCAAAUAACUUUUUCCAUCUCACAAUUCAAAUGAAGUGGAAAUUAACUGGGGGAAAAUAUCAAAUGUUCAAGGACUUUUUCGUUCAUGGAAAUUGUGAUCGAUGUGCUUGGAGAGGUAAUAUGGUAUAGCCUGCUCGGAAAAGUAACCGAAUUGCAACUGAAACCUCAGCUGUUGGAAUGAAGUCAACAGAGAGCGGUUUGAGCUGUAACGCUGUUGCAUGGCAAGACGAUAUAUUGUGAAAUAAUAUGUUUUUGAUUAGUGGUGAUGCCAGCCAAACGGAAAACAUGUUCAAAAGGGAAAAAAUUGUAUUAUUCAUGCAUGCAUUGGGAGAAGUUGCAGCAGAGUGCCAAACAACCACAGAAUACCACAACACCCGAUGGGAGGGGGAGAGAAAGCAAGAGCAAAAUUGUAACUACAAUAACAAAUGAAACUAAACGAAAAACGGUAGAGUGCCAACUACACCAGGAGAAUGCCAUAAAGUGCAUCAUGGCACAAAACUGCAACAAUGAUUUAUGAAUGCACAGCGAAAAAAGAAAAUCCCACUGUAAAGGGAGCAGCAUGAGCAGUGGCAGCAUCAGCAGGAGCAACCUUUGUUGUAGCAAACCAAAUGAAAGUGUUCGUUGUAAUAGGUAUUCUCUGGCAAUCCGCAUGAUUGCACUUCAUUCUUAUUUCAUAUAACUGCUUUUUUUUAUAAAGAAGAAGAGAGAGUAAAAGUGGGGCAGAGUCAGUAGUUGAAUACCCUA
Long non-coding RNA from Stomoxys calcitrans (stable fly), 954 nucleotides. RefSeq lists it as uncharacterized. The transcript has 2 exons. The record is from RefSeq and is a predicted model, not a curated record. NCBI's taxonomy places the organism in Eukaryota, Metazoa, Arthropoda, Insecta, Diptera, Muscidae.